RNAcentral lists this ribosomal RNA (497 nucleotides) under uncultured bacterium. RNAcentral's name for it is "partial 16S ribosomal RNA". It matches the Rfam family "Bacterial small subunit ribosomal RNA", at positions 28 to 507 of the family's 1533-position model. The record is from RNAcentral.
GAUGAACGCUGGCGGCGUGCCUAAUACAUGCAAGUCGAGCGAACAGAUAAGGAGUUUGCCCUUUUGACGUUAGCGGCGGACGGGUGAGUAACACGUGGGCAACUCAUCUAUAAGACUGGGAUAACUUCGGGAAACCGGAGCUAAUACCGGCUAAUAUCUCGAACAGCCUGGUUCGAUAGUGAAAGAUGGCUUUGCUAUCACUUAUAGAUGGACCAGCGCCGUAUUAGCUAGUUGGUAGGGUAACGGCUUACCAAGGCGACGAUACGUAGCCGACCUGAGAGGGUGAUCGGCCACACUGGAACUGAGACACGGUCCAGACUCCUACGGGAGGCAGCAGUGGGGAAUCUUGCACAAUGGGCGAAAGCCUGACGGAGCAACGCCGCGUGUGUGAUGAAGGUCUUCGGAUCGUAAAGCUCUGUUGUUAGGGAAGAACACACUUGUAAGUAUCUGUUCGCGGCUUGACGGUACCGGAUGAGAAAGCCACGGCUAACUACGUG